CUCUUAUCAAGAGAGGUGGAGGGAUGUGCCCGAUGAAGCCCGGCAACCGUCAGCAGCAAAUUGCUUGUUGAAAAGGUGCCAAUUCACACAAAGCCCCGUGCUUUGGGAGAUGAGAG
Molecule: non-coding RNA, 116 nt
Filed under: Pseudobacillus badius
Lineage: Bacteria; Bacillati; Bacillota; Bacilli; Caryophanales; Bacillaceae
Description: Bacillus badius SAM-I sequence
Rfam family: SAM riboswitch aptamer (S box leader)
About the family: The SAM riboswitch is found upstream of a number of genes which code for proteins involved in methionine or cysteine biosynthesis in Gram-positive bacteria. The SAM riboswitch acts at the level of transcription termination control. The predicted structure consists of a complex stem-loop region followed by a single stem loop terminator region.
Source: RNAcentral